GGACUACCCGGGUAUCUAAUCCGGUUCGCUCCCCACGCUUUCGCGCCUCAGCGUCAGGUAAAGCCCAGCGAGCCGCCUUCGCCACUGGUGUUCCUCCGGAUCUCUACGCAUUUCACCACUACACCCGGAAUUCCACUCGCCUCUGCUUCCCUCCAGCUCAGCAGUCCCCACGGCACUCGCCCAGUUGAGCCGGGCGCUUUCACCAUGGACUUGCUGUGCCGCCUGCGCGCGCUUUACGCCCAAUAACUCCGGACAACGCUUGCCACCUACGUCUUACCGCGGCUGCUGGCAC
Molecule: ribosomal RNA, 292 nt
Filed under: uncultured bacterium
Lineage: Bacteria
Description: partial 16S ribosomal RNA
Source: RNAcentral